GGAGAGACGUCUGGUAGCAGGCUGUGAAGCGUGUGGGAGACGUUGAGCGUCCGGCGUCUGUCGAGGACGUAGUGGAUAGUGUCGCCUGGUUUGAAACUGCUCUUCACAACCGAAACGUCCCUCUCAGCAUCCAGGAAACGCAGGACAUCCUUCCUGUAUGUUAGUCAGAAGAGAAGUGGACUGUAGUGAAGUCUCCUGUUGUGACAGAUGUAAGCAUGUAUCCAACAUGACAGCGACAAACAGUAUGGUGUCUCAAAAACAUCUAACGCAAAGCAAGAUGAUGAAGAAAGAAACCACAGUAUAUGAAGCACCCUAAAAUGCUGGUGCAAUGUGUUCCAGUCAACCUGCUGCAAAGUUUGAAACAUUAGGUGGGCCAGAAAAAAAAACAUGAAGAUAAAUGAGCAAAAAUAGCAAAAAAGAUAAAUGAGCAAAAAUGGCCUACAUUUUUCACAGCGAGUCAAAUAGCAAUAUCUUGAUUGGCUUUGUAAUUACAAUAUGCUGCAUGGGGGGAAAAAGGAAGCACGGAAAUCAGUCCCAGAACAAAGGCUCGGCUAAAUGGGCAAAGAGCCUCUUAUGUCAUACAGUAAUGAGAGUUUUGCAGUUUUCUGUCUCUUUUUCGCUGUCUCAGAGGGCUAUGUGUUCUAUUGCAGUCCAACGUCGACGAUUCCCUAGACACGGAGACAGAGGGGCAGGCCGCUAUUCUUAGGCAUGGAAGGCACAUUUCCACAAUAAAAAGAAAAGUUGUCUCACCGCAAAUUAAGCGCAUACGCAGUUGCGUAGCCAGAAAUUAGCUGGUGGGUGGGCCUGCAGCUAACUUCCUUAAAUUAUAGACAUUUUGCAAUAGGGCAAAGUUUCAGUUUCAUAGCUAAUCUCAUGCUAUUCUACACAUUAUGCCAUGAGGCUGAGAGAAAAGUAAAGCUAAAAUAAAUGUGUGUUGGCUGUGAUAAAGGCACUGGAUUAUGAGCGGUCUUGUUUGCUAAAUGAACAAAUGAAGUAAGCUGUGGCAUGGUGCAUAUAGCCAUAGAAACACAGUGACAGAUGCCUCAAUGCAGUCAUAUUCACAGCUUAUCGGGGGUGUGGCUUUCAGUUAGUUAUUUUUGGCAACACAUCCCGUGAGAGUGAAUGUCAUCCCAGUUCACCUGUUAUGUUAUAUUUCAUCAAAUCUGACUAACCCAGUGCACUGUUUGCUAUAAAUUCUAUCUGACGGUGUUUGCAUGUUUAGGUAAAACAGUCGGUGGCAAAAAACGAAGACAACCUUCUACAAUGACAACCUCCCCAAAGUUACAGUAUAAUACAACAGUGUUGUAAGAAUAUAAUAAGUAUCUCAACUCCUUUAUGAUAUCAUGUAUAGAAAUAGUACACAGACUUCUUCAGAAGUAGUACAUAAGUAAUAUAGACUUAUUGACAAGAGUGUUUGUAAUGAAAAGGAACGACCUUCGGUAUAGAUUCUUAUGCCAUUAAAUGCAGUCAAAUUA
This is a long non-coding RNA of Salmo salar (Atlantic salmon), 1475 nucleotides long. RefSeq lists it as uncharacterized. Lineage: Eukaryota; Metazoa; Chordata; Actinopteri; Salmoniformes; Salmonidae. The record is from RefSeq and is a predicted model, not a curated record.